Molecule: ribosomal RNA, 492 nt
Filed under: uncultured bacterium
Lineage: Bacteria
Description: partial 16S ribosomal RNA
Rfam family: Bacterial small subunit ribosomal RNA
Source: RNAcentral
AGUGAACGCUGGCGGUAGGCCUAACACAUGCAAGUCGAACGGCAGCACAGUAAGAGCUUGCUCUUACGGGUGGCGAGUGGCGGACGGGUGAGGAAUACAUCGGAAUCUACUUUUUCGUGGGGGAUAACGUAGGGAAACUUACGCUAAUACCGCAUACGACCUACGGGUGAAAGCAGGGGAUCUUCGGACCUUGCGCGAUUGAAUGAGCCGAUGUCGGGUUAGCUAGUUGGCGGGGUAAAGGCCCACCAAGGCGACGAUCCGUAGCUGGUCUGAGAGGAUGAUCAGCCACACUGGAACUGAGACACGGUCCAGACGCCUACGGGAGGCAGCAGUGGGGAAUAUUGGACAAUGGGCGCAAGCCUGAUCCAGCCAUACCGCGUGGGUGAAGAAGGCCUUCGGGUUGUAAAGCCCUUUUGUUGGGAAAGAAAAGCAGCAGGUUAAUACCCCGCUGUUCUGACGGUACCCAAAGAAUAAGCACCGGCUAACUUCGUG